AUGGGGGAUUCUGCAUGAGUCCUCUGACCCACCCCCACUCGCUCCCAUGGUCCUCCCAUGCAUGCCCCACCAAGGCCAGCUCUGGCCCUUUAAGAAAAAAAACCCUGAAAAAACUCCCAGACUCACCGUUCCUGCCGGGGAGGGGGGGCAAUACCUGCUGCUGCCCCUCAUCAGGUUGGGGACUUCACAUGAGUCAGCCCCCCCCCCAAAGCCCCAAGGCUGCUGCAGGAGCGGUUGAUUGUUGGAAGGCAUGGGGCUUAAUAUUAAUCUGAACCAUUGCUUCGUCAAAUGCCACCUUGUCAUAUCCAGGUAUAAAGUCUUUCCUGGUAUGGUUUCUGGGUCCUGGCUGCCAAGAGGCUUCUCCUGAAUGAAGAAGUACUGUAAUGUGGACUGCCAUUCAGUGUCUUUUCAAUGAUAUAGUGCAGUCCAGGAAUCUAUCCUGGUCCCAUGGAGAAAAAGCUUCAAGCAGAUGGGGCAUCAUCUGAAGACACCUGACUGCUGCCUCCAAUGCUGUGCGGAUUUUUUCUUUUCCGUUGACUCUAAUGUAAAAUUCCUCAACAACAUUGGAAGCAAGUGUUCAUUUUUCUCCCCAUCAGGACAGCAUUUGCUUCCCUGACAAAGUGGCUUCUACUUGCUUGUUCACCUACUGCCUUCAUAACACUCUCCUCAUGGCUGCCAAGCACCUUAGCUUCAACAUAAUGGCAUUUUGACUCUUGCCUGGUCUCUGGCCUGAUGCUUAGGUUGCUACUCUUGGAUGUGGAAAAUUAGAGUUCAAAUCCUUGUCAUGAUCCUAGACUCUGGGUCUCUCAGCUAUCCUCAGCAACUGCCUUAACUACUAGGGAAAACACCUCAAAAAACCACUAUGUAUAAAUUGUUUUUGCUCACCUACCAUUCCCACACUUCCCUGCCAAGGCACAGCAUAGGCAAAGCCCCUUGGCUUGGCAGUCCAUUGCAAUAUGUUGAUGAUCCUUGUUUAGGAGGUCACUUAUGAAAGCAGGAUUAAGGAUCCUAGAAAUGGUGAGAAGUCACACCACAUGUUAUUUUAACAUGUACCGUAGGCAGCUCUUUCAUCUCAGCCUGGGAAGUGCCUUUCAGUAAUAUGAUGGAAGCUUUAAUAUUCAGGAAAUAUAACAGUAAUAUAAUGCCAGUUCACAUUGCCAUGUAGUACCAGUGGAAGGAGGGGUGAAAUAGCCUAACAGCUGUCUUGUAACUGUGAAGCUAAUAACUCUGUGUUGAUCAUUUUUUCUCUGUUCUUGUGUUGGGUGGAGAGACAGCUUUGUUUUUAGUUCAUGGUAAUAAGUCCAUGAAUUGAAGAGUGAGUUUGGAGACCUACCUUAUUGCUGAUCAAAACUGAAAAGAAACCAUGAGGUCACAUGAUGAAUAUUGUUAUAGACAUGAACACCACUGAGCAAAGAAACUGUGGUAUGUCAGCAAUAGGCCUCAUUAGGCUAACAGCAUAGAUUCUAUGUGAACCAAGAAAAAAGAAGUUUAUUUUAGACUGAAAACUACCUACCUGCCAAGACUCAUAAUCAGAUUGUUUCUUUCUUAUUGCUCCUUAUGGAAUCUGGCCCUUAUAGGAGAUGUGCUGUUAACAUAUAUUUCUAGAAAUUGAAGAUGCCAUACUUUUCAAUGGGAUAAAGUGACUUGAAAAACCUUCACUUCCAACAUUCCCCAAAAAUUGAACCAUGCCUCAUCUUUUUCAUUUGUAAGAAUAAACCUUUAAAGAAAA
Molecule: long non-coding RNA, 1729 nt
Organism: Alligator mississippiensis (American alligator)
Lineage: Eukaryota; Metazoa; Chordata; Crocodylia; Alligatoridae
Exons: 3
Source: RefSeq, a predicted model, not a curated record